UGUUACGGGCCGAGUGGUUCAAGGCGUAGCAUUGGAACUGCUAUGUAGGCUUUUGUUUACCGAGGGUUCGAAUCCCUCUCUUGACAU
RNAcentral lists this transfer RNA (87 nucleotides) under Plantago ovata (blond plantain). RNAcentral describes it as "tRNA-Ser". It matches the Rfam family "tRNA". From Rfam's summary of the family: Transfer RNA (tRNA) molecules are approximately 80 nucleotides in length. Their secondary structure includes four short double-helical elements and three loops (D, anti-codon, and T loops). Lineage: Eukaryota; Viridiplantae; Streptophyta; Magnoliopsida; Lamiales; Plantaginaceae. The record is from RNAcentral.